UGGGGAAUAUUGCUCAAUGGGGGGAACCCUGACGCAGCCAUGCCGCGUGAAUGAAGAAGGCCUUAGGGUUGUAAAGUUCUUUCGGUAUUGAGGAAGGUUGAUGUGUUAAUAGCACAUCAAAUUGACGUUAAAUACAGAAGAAGCACCGGCUAACUCCGUGCCAGCAGCCGCGGUAAUACGGAGGGUGCGAGCGUUAAUCGGAAUAACUGGGCGUAAAGGGCACGCAGGCGGUUAUUUAAGUGAGGUGUGAAAGCCCCGGGCUUAACCUGGGAAUUGCAUUUCAGACUGGGUAACUAGAGUACUUUAGGGAGGGGUAGAAUUCCACGUGUAGCGGUGAAAUGCGUAGAGAUGUGGAGGGAUACCGAAGGCGAAGGCAGCCCCUUGGGAAUGUACUGACGCUCAUGUGCGAAAGCGUGGGGAGCAAACAGGAUUAGAUACCCUGGUAGUCCACGCUGUAAACGCUGUCGAUUUGGGGGUUGGGGUUUAACUCUGGCGCCCGUAGCUAACGUGAUAAAUCGACCGCCUGGGGAGUACGGCCGCAAGGUUA
RNAcentral lists this ribosomal RNA (547 nucleotides) under uncultured bacterium. Its description in RNAcentral is "bacterial SSU rRNA". It matches the Rfam family "Bacterial small subunit ribosomal RNA", at positions 355 to 896 of the family's 1533-position model. The record is from RNAcentral.